GAUGAACGCUAGCUACAGGCUUAACACAUGCAAGUCGAGGGGUAGCAGGGUAGCAAUACCGCUGACGACCGGCGCACGGGUGAGUAACACGUAUCCAACCUUCCCAUAACUCGGGGAUAGCCUUUCGAAAGAAAGAUUAAUACCCGAUAGUACUUAAGAGAGGCAUUCUUUUUAAGUUAAAGAUUUAUUGGUUAUGGAUGGGGAUGCGUUCCAUUAGAUAGUUGGUGAGGUAACGGCUCACCAAGUCUUCGAUGGAUAGGGGUUCUGAGAGGAAGGUCCCCCACAUUGGUACUGAGACACGGACCAAACUCCUACGGGAGGCAGCAGUGAGGAAUAUUGGUCAAUGGGCGAGAGCCUGAACCAGCCAAGUAGCGUGAAGGAUGAAGGUCCUAUGGAUUGUAAACUUCUUUUAUAGUAGAAUAAAGUGAUCCACGUGUGGAUUUUUGUAUGUAUACUAUGAAUAAGGAUCGGCUAACUCCGUG
This 482-nucleotide ribosomal RNA is filed under the name uncultured bacterium. RNAcentral's name for it is "bacterial SSU rRNA". It matches the Rfam family "Bacterial small subunit ribosomal RNA", at positions 28 to 507 of the family's 1533-position model. The record is from RNAcentral.